UAGGGAAUCUUCCGCAAUGGACGAAAGUCUGACGGAGCAACGCCGCGUGAGUGAUGAAGGUUUUCGGAUCGUAAAGCUCUGUUGUUAGGGAAGAACAAGUGCCGUUCAAAUAGGGCGGCACCUUGACGGUACCUAACCAGAAAGCCACGGCUAACUACGUGCCAGCAGCCGCGGUAAUACGUAGGUGGCAAGCGUUGUCCGGAAUUAUUGGGCGUAAAGGGCUCGCAGGCGGUUUCUUAAGUCUGAUGUGAAAGCCCCCGGCUCAACCGGGGAGGGUCAUUGGAAACUGGGGAACUUGAGUGCAGAAGAGGAGAGUGGAAUUCCACGUGUAGCGGUGAAAUGCGUAGAGAUGUGGAGGAACACCAGUGGCGAAGGCGACUCUCUGGUCUGUAACUGACGCUGAGGAGCGAAAGCGUGGGGAGCGAACAGGAUUAGAUACCCUGGUAGUCCACGCCGUAAACGAUGAGUGCUAAGUGUUAGGGGGUUUCCGCCCCUUAGUGCUGCAGCUAACGCAUUAAGCACUCCGCCUGGGGAGUACGGUCGCAAGACUGAAACUCAAAGGAAUUGACGGGGGCCCGCACAAGCGGUGGAGCAUGUGGUUUAAUUCGAAGCAACGCGAAGAACCUUACCAGGUCUUGACAUCCUCUGACNNNCCUAGAGAUAGGGCUUCCCCUUCGGGGGCAGAGUGACAGGUGGUGCAUGGUUGUCGUCAGCUCGUGUCGUGAGAUGUUGGGUUAAGUCCCGCAACGAGCGCAACCCUUGAUCUUAGUUGCCAGCAUUCAGUUGGGCACUCUAAGGUGACUGCCGGUGACAAACCG
Molecule: ribosomal RNA, 818 nt
Filed under: Bacillus atrophaeus
Lineage: Bacteria; Bacillati; Bacillota; Bacilli; Caryophanales; Bacillaceae
Description: bacterial SSU rRNA
Rfam family: Bacterial small subunit ribosomal RNA
Source: RNAcentral